CGAAGAUCCUGAAUCCGGAUUCCUUGAAGUAUGACUUGGAUUAUUAACAUAUGGAUUGGCUGAGAUAGAGGUAUGAUUAGUAUUUUGUGAUUGAGAGUCAUUGGAAGGAGAAAUGCCAGGAGAACUUGGUUCCUUAUUAGAGGACAAGGAUUGUGAUGGGGAGCCAGUUUGCGAAGAUCCAGAAGAUAUGAGUGAUGGAUUGGAUGAGGCAACUAAGAUAAAUAUUAGCAAAUUGAACGAAUCAAAAAAGAAAAAGAAAAAUUGAGAACAUAGGAAAACUCAGUAUAGUAGAGAUAAAAAUAAAAAGAAUGAAUAAACAAAAGAAAAUAUACCUGAAGGCAUUGUAGCUAACAAUGAAGCAUCUUUAUGUGACAGAGGUGACUGGGAGUGUUGAAACACAUGAGGUUCUAAGCCUAAGGGCAACAAUUAGUAGAAUUCUAAGAGAAAGGAUCAAAAAUAGCAGAGAAAAAAGAGAGAACAAGCAAUCAAGACAUCACUCGCUACAGCCCGUAGAGGCAAAUAUUUCAAAUUAUUGACCAACUCUCUAUCCCCGCUUUAAUAGCCUGCAUACCAGGGAAAGCACUCAUUAACUUUUCAUCUAAGUUUUCUUCUAAAUCAGGACUCAGAUUAAUAAAUUCCGGUUUUCCACUAUACUCAUUGGAAGUAUGUGGAGGAUUUUCUGACGUUUUACUUGUUUGUCUAUCACUCGACACAUUUCGCACGGAAUUCCAAUUAUCCAUUAAUUAAAUAUCAAAGAGGUUCAAAGUAAUACUCCGAAUAAAUUGAACCUUUCAGAAAUUCGCACUGUGCCGAUUUAAUCGUUUCCUGAGGAUAUACGCUGAGAAAGGAUCAACGUCGACUACUAUUCAAGUAAGGAAACUGAACAUGCAACUUUGUGAAAUUCGUUGGAGUUCUCUAAACCCUUCGCUACACCAUCGUGUAUAUUAAUAGUUAAAACUAAAUAAAAAAAUAUAAUUUUAGUAGAUUUUUAAUUUUUUAAUUAUAUUGACAAUAAUAGAAGACUUAAGAAGCAUUUUUGGCGUGUGGGACUUGGUAUGCCAAAUGGCUUUCCAGCUGUAAACAAAAUGAUUCACCGUUUUUAGAUCGGAUCAAUCUUUUCACGAAUUCCGUUAGAAAAAAUUAAGAAUAAAAGGAUAUUAUACUCUUAUUUUUUUCUUCAUUCUCUUGUGAUUUUGAACCCAUCUCUUUUUCCUCAUACAUUAACCGGUCUUCAUAUUAACGUCUGUUAUUAGAUAGUAAACAUAAUUUAUACAUUGUUUUUUUUUUUUGAGAGUAAGCUGUGCACCAGUUCUAUGAACGGAGUAUUUUUAUUUAUUUUUUGCAGAAUGGAACAAAUUAAUCUAUAUACUAACUGUGGAAUGUAUGAAUCCUUUAGACAAAAU
This is a non-coding RNA of Schizosaccharomyces pombe (fission yeast), 1403 nucleotides long. NCBI's taxonomy places the organism in Eukaryota, Fungi, Ascomycota, Schizosaccharomycetes, Schizosaccharomycetales, Schizosaccharomycetaceae. The record is from the annotation of a GenBank genome assembly.